GUACCGACGUCACCUGGGAACCCACGACCUAUGGUUGGAAAGAUAAUUCAAUUAUCUACAACUUCUACUUCUUGGUAUUUUUCCAAAUUCCAAACAUAUAAUACCGUUUUUGCCCCCCAAAGUCAGGUCACCCGAAAACGUUUUCUUAAAAAUAUUCGUUUGGAGGACUUCCACUUUGAUUUGGCCCAAGGGUCCUUCUUGAGUUGUGUUUAACUUCACAUAUGUGAUUCAUAUAAUUUGUCACAUGUCCCAAAAAAAAAUAAAAAAAAAAUCUUGACGUGUGGGCCCCACCUCAGCUUACAAAUAAUCUGACGUUCAAAAAUACGGGAUGUAACAUUUAUAUGUGUACAUAUUUUGGGAAUUUAAUUAGGACAAAGAAGCAUUUUCGAAAUUAGUUUAUGUGAAAAAGAAUUAUGAAAAUUGGAUACAAUUUGUAUCAAUUCUCUUCACCAAAUUCAGCCCAUUUCGUGGCCCAAUUCACACUCCAACCCAGCCCAAAUCUCCUUGACCCGGUCCAAACCCACCUAAAACUAAAGACACCGCCUAAAUCCCCAAACUAAGUCUUCAACCCCAUUUUCAUCCAAACUAAACGUGAACUCCCCAUUCUUCUUCACCCCUUGUUCAAUCAAAAACCCCAACUAGCCCCGUCACGUCACCUCACCUCGCCGCCACACUUUACCCAUCAGACCAUCGGUUAAAGCCGAUUUCGGCGUCACUGACGCCGCCUCCCAUCAACCCCUGUCCCUUUCUCCCAUUUUCUUCAAGUGACAGAGCGUCGAACAGCUCGUCCAAGUUGAAUCAGCCCCCAAAUCAAGAAGCACGCAAGGAUCUUUGGGUUUAUAGGCCUAUCUUCCAACAAUCCAUAGGGUAAAGGGUCGUUUCAGUCCGUUGGAGCCUAAAACCAUGAAGAAUCCACUAAAUUUGGAGUCCCAACAAAUUUGCAGCAGACUCGACGACGACACUAGCCUCAGUUCGCUGUCCCGGAGAAGAACUUGUAUGCUGAUUCGCGGAAGUUCAACGCUGCUAACUUAUGGAGUAUGUUGAAUCAGUAAGUAAGUAUUGAAUUUCCAGAUAAGUUAUGUGAUUAUGUCUGGUCCCCCGAUCAGCUAUCCUAGCUGCACACUCGAAAAUGUCAAGUUAUAGGAUGCCUUACUCUAAAAAUGUUCAGGAAUUGGUUUUGACGUAAACUCCUCUUUUGGCUUUGCGACUUGAAGUUCUUUUUGUUAAGGUUUCUGAAAAAAAUAUUUUUUAAGACAUGAACCUGCUACCUUCCUGGAAUCUGGUUGGUUUGAUUUUAGAGUUUAAGGUCAUUGGAAAAACUGAAUAGGAUUAUAGAACAGUGGUUUGUUCCAUCGUUUUGAAGUUCAUUGUAUGCUAAAUAUAUAUUCCUAGCUUGUGGUUCGAAUGAUUGAUUACGAAAAAAAAAAUCUAGCUAGUAAAUGAGUUCUAUAAGAGUGUCUGCUUGUCUUAUUCAUCCAUUCAUGAAGUUAAAAUAUGUCUGAAUCUAAUGACUUUUUCUUAUUUCUCUGGUAUGUCCUUUCUAAAAAAAAAAAAUAGCAAAGUGUAGACGGAUAAAUUAUUAUGUGCUACCUGAGUUUGUCUUCUCUUUAUGCCUGGAUAACAAGGUUUCUUAGGCAUUCCAAUGACACUGAAAAUCUGAAUAGAAUUAAAGAGGGCGACAGUUUGUUUCAACAUGAUUUUUGCAUAGUUUUCCUAUUGGUAUUAUAGGGUUUGUGUUGAAUUUUUGAAGUAAGUCAUUUGCGUCUUUUGAAUCUUGUUAUUCUGAACGAGCUGUACUUACUCAAAGGGGGGUCUCAUCUUUUUGUGAACUCGAAAGAACUAAGGCUGGGGCAUAUGUAAAAACUCAGUAGCUAAUUUGCUUCUCUUGGGUGUUCGUGAGUUGGUUACUGAAGUUUCUGUAAACUUGAAUGCAUGCUUGAUAAUCCGUGAUUCUACCUCUCUUGUGUGGUUAAAUUCUUGCUUAAAAGCCGUCUUUUAUUUCAAAAGCAAUAUGUGUUCGUUUAACUAAGAAAAUAAAUUGUUUAGGUGUAUCUUUUCUCGAAUACGGUCGUCUUGUUCCAAUUUUUUUUUAAGAAUCUUUAAUAUCCAUGUUGCACAUCUAGAACAAGCUUAGACUUGAAAACAAGCCUUUGGUCUCUCCUUUGAUAUUGUUUCCUGCUUAAAUCAUGACUUGUGGAAUCUUGUUUACCUAAGUAUGAAAGUUAAGUUUGUGUUGAGAAUCAGGAGGUAAUGGCUGCCACUCUGUUUGAAUACCUUUGUAAAACAACUACAUGCUAAACAUAAUUUCCAGGCUAAAGUUCUAGUUUGUUAUUUUGUGCAUUCCUGUGGGUUUUAUGGUGUAGAAAUGAAAGCUAUAAAACUGAAAUUUUGCAUUAACAGUAGACUAUUACAUAUUCUAGUCGAAUCACAAUAGUUAAUUUAUUUCAUGGGUUGGAAUUGUUAAUAUAUCUCUUUUUCCUGCAUAUAAGAAGUUUCAUUUGAACUUGAUCCGCUUCUAGACUAAUAUGACAAAGGUCCUGGGUAUUAAGUGACAUAGUGAUUUGAUGCUUUGGUCUUUUAAGCCUUUUGCAAGUUUGUGGAUAUGUACUGCAGGUCCUUUCUUUUAGCAGCAAUUUGCAAGAAAUUUUAAACUUGAUUGAGCCUUUUGAGGCUUGCUGAUUAAGAAGUUAUAACAAGAAGGCUUUGAAAUAAGUUGAUAAUUUGUUAGUUAUGACCUCUCUUGUUUGUACUUCGAACUAAAUGUUGUAUUAUUUAAACUAAGUAAAGGACCUACCAUUAAGGUGAGAUAAUCUGUGUUGCUUCCCUUUUUCAAAAAGGUCGAGUUAGAGUAAUAUUGGUUCGACUGUAUAUUUUCAUGUAUAUAGCCUUGUGAAUAUAAAGUAUUCCUCCUAGAAGUGAUGUAUAUAUUUGAAGUUUGAGCUAAUCUAGAGAUAGGUUCUUGGGAAGACCAUUUAAACAAGUUAAUAGAUCCAUUUUCCUGUUCACUUUAUUUCUUCUCUAUUGAGAAUAGUUACUAAUCUUUUUCUUCCUUCGAUUCUUUUACAUGAACACAUGGGAGUGCAUUUGGAGUUGUGCCAUAACUCCAACCUCUGCCCAGAAUUGGAGUAAACAGUAGCAGCCGUCCCGAUUUCUCUCGUGUCUUAAGUGUCGACGCCUUCUUUCCUCUCUUCAAAAAUAUUAUGUCUUUGUAUUGAUGUGUUGUUUACAUAUUUUACUAACAUUUUGUGAGUUUUGUAUUUGCAGUACUUAUUUCUUGUUUUGGGCGUGAACUCUCAAGAAUGGUUAAGAGGAAUAGUUUGCUUAAUCUCUUCCCGCCAUUAGACUUAACUUAAUCAAUUGUGUUUACGUGUGCUAGAUAUGUUAAUUUUCUAAACAAUUGCCAGGUUUUUUUUUUAACUUAUUUGCUAUAGGAGUAAACACUGUUGUAUCUCAUUCACAAAGUUACUAUUUUGGA
Long non-coding RNA from Lycium barbarum (goji berry), 3475 nucleotides. RefSeq lists it as uncharacterized. The record is from RefSeq and is a predicted model, not a curated record. NCBI's taxonomy places the organism in Eukaryota, Viridiplantae, Streptophyta, Magnoliopsida, Solanales, Solanaceae. The transcript has 2 exons.